This 183-nucleotide ribosomal RNA is filed under the name Escherichia coli. RNAcentral describes it as "partial 23S ribosomal RNA". It matches the Rfam family "Bacterial large subunit ribosomal RNA", at positions 1 to 184 of the family's 2925-position model. Lineage: Bacteria; Pseudomonadati; Pseudomonadota; Gammaproteobacteria; Enterobacterales; Enterobacteriaceae. The record is from RNAcentral.
GGUUAAGCGACUAAGCGUACACGGUGGAUGCCCUGGCAGUCAGAGGCGAUGAAGGACGUGCUAAUCUGCGAUAAGCGUCGGUGAGGUGAUAUGAACCGUUAUAACCGGCGAUUUCCGAAUGGGGAAACCCAGUGUGUUUCGACACACUAUCAUUAACUGAAUCCAUAGGUUAAUGAGGCGAAC